Long non-coding RNA from Zingiber officinale, 312 nucleotides. RefSeq lists it as uncharacterized. NCBI's taxonomy places the organism in Eukaryota, Viridiplantae, Streptophyta, Magnoliopsida, Zingiberales, Zingiberaceae. The record is from RefSeq and is a predicted model, not a curated record. The transcript is spliced from 3 exons.
CUAUUUUGGGUUCACAGUCAGCCGAGCUCUCCUCACAGCAGUGCCGCAGACCUCCAUCUCGUGUGCCCUAGGUUUGGAUUGUGCCGCCGCUGAGUUUGCUUCGCCGACGCUGUGCCCUAACAUUUUCGCCGGCCACAGUGAAGUAAUCAGCAAGGAGUUUGGGUUUGUGGAUGAUUUUGGGUUCCGGCAGCUAUCCCAUUUAGCAGCCUACUUAAUUGUCAACAGCAACACACUGCGACCGGGAAUCAAGAAACUACAGGCUGUGAAUUGAGGUUGAUGCUGUCAGGAGGGAGUUCCAGUCGCUAGUCCCCA